This 260-nucleotide ribosomal RNA is filed under the name uncultured prokaryote. RNAcentral's name for it is "partial 16S ribosomal RNA". It matches the Rfam family "Bacterial small subunit ribosomal RNA", at positions 917 to 1178 of the family's 1533-position model. The record is from RNAcentral.
GGGCCCGCACAAGCGGUGGAGCAUGUGGUUUAAUUCGAUGCAACGCGAAGAACCUUACCUACUCUUGACAUCCAGAGAACUUAGCAGAGAUGCUUUGGUGCCUUCGGGAACUCUGAGACAGGUGCUGCAUGGCUGUCGUCAGCUCGUGUUGUGAGAUGUUGGGUUAAGUCCCGCAACGAGCGCAACCCCUAUUGUUAGUUGCCAUCAUUAAGUUGGGCACUCUAACGAGACUGCCGGUGAUAAACCGGAGGAAGGUGGGG